Ostrinia nubilalis (European corn borer) is the source of this 273-nucleotide long non-coding RNA. RefSeq lists it as uncharacterized. NCBI's taxonomy places the organism in Eukaryota, Metazoa, Arthropoda, Insecta, Lepidoptera, Crambidae. The transcript is spliced from 2 exons. The record is from RefSeq and is a predicted model, not a curated record.
GUGGCCGCGCAGACCGCCGCCGCGGCCGUACUAGUCACCGUCGAGAUAUUGGUCUGGUAUUUUAUUGCAAAAUUUUUUGAGUAUAACCCACCGUCAUCUACCGAAGAACGAGGCAAAGAAAAUCUUAUGAAAACUCUCCCCCAAUAAACUUAUUGUAUUUUCAGUCUAGGUACAUUAUAGAAGUUACUUAUUAGUACAUAACUUUAUCAAAACUUGGUUUCUUGUGUAAUUUUGAAAUGAAAGUCAGUAUAAUAAAAUUUAGCAACUUAUUUA